RNAcentral lists this unclassified non-coding RNA (156 nucleotides) under uncultured Diaporthales. Its description in RNAcentral is "sequence contains ITS2". Lineage: Eukaryota; Fungi; Ascomycota; Sordariomycetes; Diaporthales. The record is from RNAcentral.
CAACCCUCAAGCCUGGCUUGGUGAUGGGGCACUGCCUGUAACAGGGCAGGCCCUGAAAUAUAGUGGCGAGCUCGCCAGGACCCCGAGCGCAGUAGUUAAACCCUCGCUCUGGAAGGCCCUGGCGGUGCCCUGCCGUUAAACCCCCAACUUUUGAAA